AGCUUUCCGAAUCCGUGCUGAGAUUUCGUCAGACGUCAGCCCAUUAGGGCUGAUCAGACAUCCGAGAUAAGUGAAGUU
Schistosoma mattheei is the source of this 78-nucleotide non-coding RNA. The record is from Rfam. NCBI's taxonomy places the organism in Eukaryota, Metazoa, Platyhelminthes, Trematoda, Strigeidida, Schistosomatidae.